GACAGAGGAUGCAAGCGUUAUCCGGAAUGAUUGGGCGUAAAGCGUCUGUAGGUGGCUUUUUAAGAUCGCCGUCAAAUCCCAGGGCUCAACCCUGGACAGGUGGUGGAAACUACCAAGCUAGAGUACGGUAGGGGCAGAGGGAAUUUCCGGUGGAGCGAUGAAAUGCGUAGAGAUCGGAAGGAACACCCAAGGCGAAAGCACUCUGCUGGGCCGACGCUGACACUGAGAGACGAAAGCUAGGGGAGCAAAUGGG
RNAcentral lists this ribosomal RNA (253 nucleotides) under uncultured bacterium. RNAcentral's name for it is "partial 16S ribosomal RNA". It matches the Rfam family "Bacterial small subunit ribosomal RNA", at positions 524 to 776 of the family's 1533-position model. The record is from RNAcentral.